RNAcentral lists this unclassified non-coding RNA (308 nucleotides) under Amphibalanus amphitrite. Its description in RNAcentral is "5'-AMP-activated protein kinase subunit beta-2-like, transcript variant X1". The record is from RNAcentral. Lineage: Eukaryota; Metazoa; Arthropoda; Thecostraca; Balanomorpha; Balanidae.
AAAAAAAAGCUUUCUUAACAUUUAAUGAGCACAGGAAUAACUUACUAGUGAACAAACUGCAAGGCUGCAACCCACCAGCCUGUCAUGGGUAAUGCUCAGAACCGAGAGCGUGGCCAGUCGGCGAGCUCAGCGUCGCCAGUCACCAGGGCGACGGUGGCAGAGUCAGCCUUCAGUUUCGACCAGCAGCAGCAGCGGCGGCGCGGCUCGCUGGCGCUGCAGGACGAGGACCCGCUGACGCUGCCGUCGCUGUCGCGGCGCCGCGUCAGCGACGGCGUGGAGCCGACGGCGCCGCCCGUGCCGCCGGCCUC